AAAACAACCCUCAGCAAUGGAUAUCUUGGCUCUCGCAACGAUGAAGAACGCAGCGAAAUGCGAUACGUCGUGUGAAUUGCAGAAUGCCGUGAAUCAUUAUACCUUUGAACGCAAAUUGCGCUCUAGACUUCGGUCAAGAGCAUGCCUGCCUCAGCGUC
Molecule: ribosomal RNA, 158 nt
Filed under: Golenkinia longispicula
Lineage: Eukaryota; Viridiplantae; Chlorophyta; Chlorophyceae; Chlamydomonadales; Golenkiniaceae
Description: 5.8S ribosomal RNA
Rfam family: 5.8S ribosomal RNA
About the family: 5.8S ribosomal RNA (5.8S rRNA) is a component of the large subunit of the eukaryotic ribosome.
Source: RNAcentral